UAAGUGCCGUCAGCUUGUGGUUCAGCUUUGGUUUUUACCUGACCUAAGUCUGUACCACAUUGAGGUUCGGUUAAGCACAUUGUGCCGCUCCAUGUACCUUCAACAAGUUUCGGCAUAUACGUUUGUUUUUGCUCAUCUGUACCGAAUUGCAAAAUAGUAUUCAUACAGCCUGAACUUAAACCUGGAUACAUGGUAAAUGACCAGUUCGCAGUACCCAUCAUCUCUGAUUUAAUCAGGUUUAAAGACAUUGGUAGGCCUUGACCACCAAAUUCUUCAGGAUAAGAAAGACCUUGCCAGCCACCCAUUACAAACUGGUCAUAAGCUUCUUUAAAACCUUUUGGCGUUUUAACUUCGCCGUUGUCAAAAUGGCAACCUUCUUCAUCGCCAGAUUGGUUAAGUGGAGACAAUACGUUUUCACAAUAAUCUGCUGCACCUUCAAGAAUCAUAUCUACUGUAUCAGGAUCUGCACUUUCACCAUUUGAUAAAGUUUUGUAGUGAGCAGGAUAGUCUAGUACUUCAUUCAUUAAGAAGCGGAUAUCGUGUAGCGGAGCUUUAUAUGCUGGCAUGGCUUUAAUCCUAAUUUUGAAUCAUUGUGGGAUUAUCUGAAUCGAUGAUUUGAUUAUUCACUCGCAUGAUAAAAAUACAAUGUUAAUCGCACCCGAAAGGAAUGUCAGAAAAGCGAAUUUUGUCGAAAAUAAAUACACCUGAAAUUAUAAUUUCUGCUAAAGUCGGGACUUAUACUUUUAUGUGAAAAAACAACUAAUUUUUUUAUUUUUAGCAAGUUUUGUUAAAAAGAUAAAGCGAUAAGGUUUUAAAAAAGGUUAUGCAUUUAAAAUAUCUCAGUUUAUGUUUAUUUAGUUUGGGCUUGACGGCAUGUGCACAACACGGCGUGCGUCCACAGGUGGCAUCUGCGAGUUUAGAGCAAAAAGCCAUUCAAAGUGUUAAUGCGAUGUAUGAAUACCCAAGUUAUGAUUAUCGCGGAAACUUUAAAAUUACCGUUGAUCCUUCACAAAUAAAGCAAAAUGUAAAAGCUGAGAAUACUGCUAAGCUAGAUGCUGAAUUACAAAAGAAAGUUGAUCAAUAUUUACGUGAACAAAAAGUUGCCUUAAGUAAAGCACAGAAACAAACCUUAUAUACGGCGAUUGCAAACGAACAAGGUGAUUUGGGACUGACUUCCUCAGCACGUUCUGAAAAAAUUAAUACCGUAUUAUUUAAUUUGUUAAAUGAUCUUCAGUUUAGUUAUGACGGCUCGAUACAUUAUCGUCAAAAAAUGGGUUCAUUUAAUUUAACUGCUAGAUAUGAAAAACCGACACUUUUAGUUCAGGCAAAAUUGCCAAUGGUGCUUGAUCUUGAGAAUUAUAAGUUUUACAUAAAUUAUUUUGGUUUGAUGCCAUAUUUGGUUAAUAAAGAUAAUCAAAAUAAUUUGGCUUAUGUUGAUUUCUCAAAAUAUAAAGCCUUCUUUAAAAAUGUCGAUAAGAAGAAAUUUAUUGAAUACCUUAAAGCUUCAAGUGCUGUUUCAUACCGAUUAGCUGAACCGCAAAACCUACAACGUGUAUCGUUGACUGAGGCUGAUCGUAAAGCAGGGGCGGUUGAAAAAAUUCGUUUAAAGACGACGGUUGAGCAACUACUUUUAGAAGUAGAUUUGUUUGGGCAAGUUAAUGAAAAAUAUCUUCAAAAAAGUGUUUUAGGUCUUGAUGAGGAAAAACUUGCUGAAACGCUUGCCGCAGAGAUUGCUGCUUCUGAUGCGAAAAAAGGCACUGCUGGUAAAGAAGAACAAAAGGUUUCUUCUGAUGACGCCGCUGCUGUUAGCCAACAGUUGUACUCCCUUGUUAAUGCUCAUUUAGGCAAUACUUCUACUUCUGAAGAUGAGGAAAUAGAGUCUGCUUCUAGUGAAGAGGCGAGUGAUGUAGCUGUAGCAGAGGCCGAGCAAACUUCAGAAAAUGAAGAGGUAGUUGCACUGACGGAAGAUCAAUGUAUUGAAUUAAAAUCACUUAAAAAACCGGUCGCUUUAGGGGAUAUUAAUUAUUGCCAAAUCUACGGUAUUGAUGUUCUAGAUCAGAGUGAUACAAGUAUUCAAAAAGCGCAAAUCAAGUCUCGUCAGGACGCUUUAAAGCAAACUUUUGAAGCUUAUAACCAAAACCAGUUUAUUAAUGAUGAAGCAUUCAAAGCUCUUUGGUUAAAACAUAAGGAUGAAAUUGAACAAGCUUUACCGAAGCAAAGAAACCCAAUCACAAUUGAUGUGGCUUUAGAUGACAAAGGCCGUGCAGUCAAUAUGGAUUACGAUGUUGAUUAUACGCCAGCUGAGUUUAAGCACCGCUUCAAUAUUAAAGCAGAUAUGCAAAUUCUGAAUUAUGGGAAAGCGACUUCAAUUGAUCAGCAGCAGCUUAAACAAGCUAAAUCUGUGGCUGAAGCAAGUAAAGGUUCUAUGCUGGAAAACUUUAUUAAAGGUUUUAGUGAAAAGCUUGGGCAAAGUGAUGUUUCAGAGCACCCUGUGGGCACACAUAGUGAUGUACAAGAUUUAGAUGCAAAUCUGGCUGUACUUGCAGAUAAAACCUAUGAUGCAACGCAUGCUUAUGAUAAAACUUAUAAAGCAGUAUUUAUUGCCAAAUUGACUGCCGAAAAACCGUCAUAUAUUAAGUAUUAUUCAGUUCAACAACUCCAAGAAAUUGCUGAGGUUUAUGCUUACUGGUUCUCUGAUGAAGAUACAUAUAAUCCUCAAGGAAAAGCCUUAGAGCGUAUUACCGCUUUACAGAAAAAACAUCAUCUUGAACAAGAUGAUCAGUUUGACCACGAGUUAGGACGUGCUGUAGAUCAUAUUGUAUUAACAACUAUACAAGGUAAAACAGGGCGUGAAGCUUGGCAGAAGCUACAGAAGCAAUAUAAACAGCCAGCCCAACUUUU
This 2901-nucleotide ribosomal RNA is filed under the name Acinetobacter baumannii BJAB07104. RNAcentral describes it as "23S ribosomal RNA". The record is from RNAcentral. Lineage: Bacteria; Pseudomonadati; Pseudomonadota; Gammaproteobacteria; Moraxellales; Moraxellaceae.